GCCAUCUGUCUCAUUCCCUGUUGACCCGGCUGUCACAGCUCAGAUCUGCUCGGAGCUGUAGGCCAGGCUGCCAUGAGGGAGGUCCAGGGUGUCCUCUGAGCGGCCGUCCACCUGCCUAGACCCACCAGCUCAAGCCCCUCCGUGUGUCAGACCAGACGCAGACCUGGGACAUUGCCUUUCAAAUUCUAGACCCAAACCAGGUGACCCUGGAAACCUGACCACAACAUCAAGAAAAGACCCCAGUCGUCAAAACGAGUUCCCCUGUCCCAUCUCACCCAUCUCAUGGACAACGUCAGGACUCUAAUCAGGCGUGGGAGGCUGGCCGUGACCAGGAGCGCCUUUUCGUGGUUGCGGAGGCAGGCCCAGAGGCCAGCCUGGUCUCCCACUCUGCGGAACAGAGGCCCGGGAUUCGAACCCGCCGUUGCACCAGCAGUCUGACGGAGAGAACUCCAUUUCCCAGCAGGCUCCGCAGGCGCGCGCAUGCCCAGUGGGUCUGAUGCCCGGCCCGGAGUCGGGCAAAGGUAGCGGCUGAGGCCCCCCUGGGUUUGGGAAGUGAGUGUCCUGGGGCGCAGAGCGGCGUCUGGGUCCGGGCGCGGGCCCCGAGGUCUGAGGUCGUGAGUGUGGUGUCAGCCGGAGGACCGGGCUCUUCUCUCGGAGCUUUAGGCGCGGUUCCAUCCUCGGCUGGUCAGAGGCGCGGCCCUGAGUCCGGGGUCGCCCUUGAGCGGGGCGGGGGACGCCCUCCCGGACCUCAGCCCAGAUGGCCAGCGGGCCCGGCCCCAGGAGGCCCCGGCAGCCUGAACAGAUGGAACUGCGCGUUCUGGAGAUGGAGAGAGUGGGGACGGCUGCACAACAGUGGGUGUACUUAAUGCCACUGAAAAUGAUUAAAUCGUAGAUACUAUGUUAUGUGUGUCUUAUCCCAGGUGGCAACUAAACCCUUUGUUUUUCCUCCUCACGGGAGCUGGGACUUUAUCUUGUUCUCAGAGCCUGGCACUCAGGAGUUGCUCAAACAAUGAGUGCUGAGGAAAGAGCUGAUCUGUCCACAGCAGAUGGAGAGGAGAGACAGCCAGCGUGGGGACGCCUGAAGCCAGCACCCUCUCCCGGGCUAGGCGGAGCAGCAGCUCUCACCUGGGCUGAUUCAGCCAUCCAGGGGACUUGGCCCCGUCUGGAGAUAUUUCUAGUCAUCAGGACCAGGUGGAAGCUGGUGGUGGGGGUGCUACUGGUAUCUAGUAGGUGAAGGUAGGAAUGUGGCUGAAUGCCCAGGACGGCCCCACAACAAGGAAUCAUCUAGCCCCAGUGUCAGCCAUGCUGAGAAUGACAAACCUGGCUCCAGAGACAUCUCCUCCUGGAAGCCCUCCUGGAUUCGACACACCCACUGCUCUAGCCCACCAUAGGCUCCUGCUUCCCUUCUCCCUGUCACAACACCAGGAGAGGU
Manis javanica (Malayan pangolin) is the source of this 1432-nucleotide long non-coding RNA. RefSeq lists it as uncharacterized. The record is from RefSeq and is a predicted model, not a curated record. Lineage: Eukaryota; Metazoa; Chordata; Mammalia; Pholidota; Manidae.